Cercocebus atys (sooty mangabey) is the source of this 1546-nucleotide long non-coding RNA. NCBI's taxonomy places the organism in Eukaryota, Metazoa, Chordata, Mammalia, Primates, Cercopithecidae. The record is from Ensembl.
CAUGAAGUUGACUAAAUUGUUAGUUUAAAGAAGAUUGUGAGUGUCAGCACAUAAAAAGGUAAUCCUGUCUCAAUUGUAGCUACAGAUUGCAAGUCCUGUGUCAAUUCAAAUUUUUGCCAACAGAUACUAAUUACUUCACUGAAAGCAGAUGUUUAGAAAUGAAAGUGUAAACACAACCCUGGUUGAUUAAUAUGCUUAUUGUAUUUCCUUGUUGUAAGUCUAGUGAAUAUUUGAUUAUCUUUAAAUUGAUCCAUAGUAUAUUCAAUAGUCUCAUGAGAACAUAAUUUUUGUUGAUGAUUUGUCCAAAGUUUCUAUCAAUCCAUCCUAGCAGCAGAGCCAAGUGUUAGAGUUAUUGCUGCCUGAGUUAUAACAGCUGCCCUGGGAAUCUUGUCUGAACAACAAGUUAACUGCUGUUCCCAGUUAUAUCUGGUCUUUCCCACCCCCAAACAUACACAAAAGAUUUUUGUCAUUCUUGGCAUUGGACAGCAGAAGUGGUAAGACAUGCCAGCAGAACUCUAAAGGCAGAAUGUCCUUCCACCUGUUUUAUGCUGUAAGACAAACUUCCAAGUGCGAGGCAGUGUGGAGGACUGUUUCCUUGAAUGGCAGCUGAAUGCACCAGCGGGAUCCUUGGCAGCAAUGCCCAGGCACUGAAGCCGGGCAUUCAGGAGAGCUAAAUGGAGAAAAAAAACUUGAGCAAACUGCUUCCUGGAACACUGAGAACCUGAAUGGGAAAUUAAGAAGAACCAGAUUCUUUCUAUUCUUCCACCAGCCAAGCAACUUCAGGAUGGGGGAAUCAAGCAAAACCAUGGUGAAGAGAUUUAAAGAGGACAAGUGACUUAUUCUACAUCUCAGGAGACACUUCCUUAAGGUGAUGAUCAUAAAAGGAUCCAUCUUAUACAGUGCUUGCCAUCUUCCACAAUACUACUCACCACGAUGCUGAAAUCACCUGUUCCAGAACCAAUCCUGUCCUUUGACAAGAAGAAUUUAAUUAUCAGUUCUGGUGGGAACCGGCUGGAGAGAGGGAAAACACUUCAAGGACUCUGCCACCAUUCCCAGACGGAGAGUGCAGAGUUUGUACCAUGGAACUCCUUCUCUAACAGUUACUCUGUGGCAGUGCCUAUUUUGAACCUCCCUUAACUUCUGAUUGUAUAGAUGUUUGUUUCAUUUGUUCAUCUGUUUGUUCACUUAAUCAGAGCUGUCUUAAGCCUUAAGAGAGAUAGUGGACUAGAAAGUGCCUUGGAAAGGUACAAAGCUCAAUCCAAGUAACAUAACUUGAAUAUCAAAGAUGUAUUUACUAUAGGUUACCAGUUCUGCUCUUUUUUGUUUGUUUGUUUUUAAACUAGGAACUUAUGAAGCCUAAAAUAUAAAAUGUAUAUACAUGGAUAUGCUCUGAAGUGAGGUAGAGGGGUAGAAAUCAACAUUGUGAUACUGUACUAUAGCUUUGCAAGAUGUUACCACUGGGGGAAAAUGCUUGAAGCGUACACAGGAUAUCUCCGUCUUAUUUCUUACAACUGCAUGUGAAUCUACAGUUAUCUCAAAAUAAAAA